UACGGGGGGAGCAAGCGUUGUUCGGAUUUACUGGGCGUAAAGGGCGGGUAGGCGGCCACCGCAAGUCAGUUGUGAAAUCUCCGGGCUUAACCCGGAAAGGUCAACUGAUACUGCGGGGCUAGAGUGCAGAAGGGGCAACUGGAAUUCUCGGUGUAGCGGUGAAAUGCGUAGAUAUCGAGAGGAACACCUGCGGCGAAGGCGGGUUGCUGGGCUGACACUGACGCUGAACUGCGAAAGCUAGGGGAGCAAACAGG
Molecule: ribosomal RNA, 254 nt
Filed under: uncultured bacterium
Lineage: Bacteria
Description: partial 16S ribosomal RNA
Rfam family: Bacterial small subunit ribosomal RNA
Source: RNAcentral